RNAcentral lists this long non-coding RNA (8210 nucleotides) under Salvia miltiorrhiza (redroot sage). RNAcentral's name for it is "long non-coding RNA (SMIL_LNC004832)". The record is from RNAcentral. Lineage: Eukaryota; Viridiplantae; Streptophyta; Magnoliopsida; Lamiales; Lamiaceae.
GGAUCAAACAUGAAGCCAGUCAUUUUCGGGGAUGACGUGGCGUCGGGGCUGCGCAGCUGGCAGGAGGCGGCCAAGAAACAGGCAAAAGAAGGGCGGCCUUCAGUCAGCGUCACCCCAUUGUCCAGUUGGCCCACCUCUCCGUUGCGCGGUGGCACGUCGCCUGCCUAUCUGCGGAAUGGCCGCAGAAAGUCGACUGAGGAGUUGGGUGGUGGCAGGGAGAGGGCGUAUGCCUCUCCCAACCACCACGGUUAUCGUGAGAAAAAAGAUCGACGGUCGGAAACUUCAGUUAUUGAGAUAGAAACGGAUAUUGGAAAUCCUUCCUCACAAGACGCUGGCUUUAUUUCUAGUGAUUUCUCCUUUGUGAAAAAUGAUUCUUCCAAAUCUCCCAAGUAGAGCAGUCAUGCAUUUGUUUAUUUCUAUCUUUUGUUAGUUUAAUUGUUGAAAAUAAAUUACCAUUUUUUUUCAACAUAUACUGUAUUAAUGUAAACUCCAUCGUUUUUUUAGUGUAAUCUAUGAUACUCCCAACAACAUUAAUCACUUGCCAAUUCCUCAAUUCUUGGAAUAAUAUAUAACUAUGAGCAAUUCUAAUUCUCUUUCAAGAGAGAUCAUUGAGUUAUGGAAUAUCCUAAUCAACAUAUGCAAAAAACACUUCCAUAUAUAUAUAUAUAUAUAUAUAUAUAUAUAUANUAUAUAUAUAUAGGGGAGAAGAUCCAUAGAGAAAGCUAAGUAAUUUGAGAAUAAAGAAUUAAUAACCACCCUUAGAUAUAGUAGAUCGGAUGGUUUAGGUAAUUUGCGUUAAUUAAUUUAGAAAUAAUAGUAAAGGUUAAGUUGGUAAUUUCUUUUUAAUUUUAACCGUCCUUACCUUAUUAAUAGUUGACCAAAUCUUGUUAAUUUUGGUAGAUUAAAUUCAUAUCUCUAUUUCGGUGGGUUUUUUUUUCUUUUUUAAUUUCGAAGAUUAUAUAUUUGAAAGAUAUGUUUCAUAUCAAUAUUUACAUAAUAUAAUAUUUUUUUUCAUUAAACUACUUCACUUUUAAAAUUUGAAUUAACUAAUAUUAAAUGAAAAUAAAUUUCAAAUUAAAUGUAAAUAAAUAAAAUUUAAAAAUUUUAUUUUAGAUGUUAGUAAUUUUUUAAACUUGUUCGAAACAUUUUUUUAUAAAAUACUUUAACAUUUCAGCAAGUAAAAUUCAAAAUUUAUUUAGAUGUUCGUAACUUUUUUAAGCUUGUUCGAAAUGUUUUUAUAAAAUAUUUUACCAUUUCAGCAAAUAAAAUUCAAUAAUUUUAUUUAGAUGUUAAAUAUUUUUAUGAUUCUCAAUCAAAUAUCAAUUAUAAUAAUCAUUCUAAUAUUUUAUUUGAAUGUCGUAAGUUAUUAAGCUUAUACGAAAAAAUUUGAAGUUAAAUAUUUUUAUGAUUCUCAAUCAAAUAUCAAUUAUAUUAUUCAUUCGAAUAAUUUAUUUGGAUGUUCGAAAGUUUAUUAAGCUUAUUCGAAAAUUUUUGAUGUUAAAUAUUUUUAUGAUUCUCAAUCAAAUAUCAAUUAUAUUAUUCAUUCUAAUAUUUUAUUUGGAUGUUCGAAAGUUUAAAUGAACAAAAUACAAGGAAAGCAUAUGGACUCAAACUACAUGAACUACAAAACCAAUAAAUUUGCAUAACAAUUUGCGGUGAACUACAAGGAAAUGCAUAAAUCUGCGGUGGUGAAACUAGAGAAGAUAUAACAAUUCUAAUGCAACCGUCUAACUAAGAAGAUCCGAAAAGUUGGAAGACCUCAUACUAAACUGAAGUCAGUUUGCACAAAAUCAACCGGCGACGGAGCGGCUUGCCAUGGCAGGCAGCGUCAGCUCUCAAUCCUCGGCUGAGGGAGUACCAGCGGCGGCCCGGACGAAUAAUUGUGCGACGGGCGGCGCUGAGGCGAAAGGGCGGCGGCGGUGCUUUAUGGUCAGCCACCGUCUGGCCCAAGGAAAGACGAAGGUAGGAGAGGCGGCUGCUUCAGAUGGCGUGAGUGUAGAGAUGAGGGGGUGGUGGUGGUCGCCGGCGAGGUGACGUUGGGAAACGACUGGUCGUGGCGGUGCGGCGAGAGAGGAAGAUAUGAUGGAACCAAAAAUGAAAUUGUUGCUAUGAAAUCGAAGAUGUGAGAUGGAGGAAGCGACUGGUCGUGGCUUUCUAAUGAAAUUGAAGAUAUGGGAAUGGAGGUGGAAGCGUGAAACUCGGAUAGUGGAAGAUAUGGAAUUGUGUAAAAUUCCUAAUUACACCCUCUAGACCGUAAAAUUUGAGAGCAUUUAUUUUUUCACGCAUUUUUGUUGUUCUUUUUUUAAUUAUUCGAGAAUCUUGUAGCCGUCAGAUUUACUAGAUCUAACGCUAGAGAGUAAUUCUCUAUUCUCUACUAAUGUGGAAUUCUCUAUGGAUCCCUAUAUAUAGAGAGAGAGGAGAGAAGAGAAGAGAAGAGAAUAAAAGAGAAGAGAGAGAGGAGGGCCCCAUAGAGGAUACAAUUGUCUUUUCAUGUCAAAUUGGCUAUUUUUGUUAUAGUUUUAUACUUGUGGCUUUAUAUGUUAUACUAUUUAUUUUAUACGGCCCUAACCUUAUGGCCUUCGCUUCAGCUUUCCGUCGCAUUUUUAACGGAUCAUCCACGCCGUCGCUCAAUAUACGCUCGCAGUUCUGUUCGAUUCGCUUCAGUUCCACGCUUCCGACGCUCACCUCUCCUAAGCUCUUCAUCAUCGGUAUGCCUCUUCAUUUUCUUUUAAUUGUAAUACGCGUUUUUCAGUUCUAUCACUGCUGUUUCGUUUGAUUCUAUUUUGUUUCUCAAUUCAUGUCAAAUCUUCGUGUCACACCAUAAUUCUUGAAUGAAUAAAUAUAAUCAAGGUACAACUAAUUCAUAGAAAUAAACAAGGAACAACCUUGUUAAAACCCAAAUAAUAAGAAACUCGGGCUAGGCCCCUUUGGAUCACAAGUUUUGCUUCAUGCUUCUGACAACCGACAUUCAUUAGCAUAAAUUUAGUAGUGAAGAGUCUAAGUUCGGUCAGGUAUAUCAUUUGACAUUUAACAUGAAGAUCUUAAGUUGGGAAAACAAAAGACGGAUAUGAGCAAUUGCUACAGCGGAAGUCUAACAUAGGAAAUUAACCAUAGCCUCAGCUCCGUCCCGUCAGCACCAUCCAGCCAACCUGAAAACAUUUGAAAGUAAUUUUGGGCUAAGUACUAAUGUACUUAGUGAGCAUGCAUUUUCUGAAACAUUUCAUAUUUUCAUAAAGACAGUUUAUCCAAUUAUACUUGACAUGACUUAGAAGGUUUUAAAUUGAAAGAACUUCUAAGCAUGUUAAAACAUUUCUUUCAUUUGUGCGCACAUGUCACACUCCCUUUUCUGUUACUCGCUGUGAUCCCGGACCUUUUAGCCACCGACGGAUCCAUUUCUCCCAUUGCACUUGCCCUGAGGACGUAACUCAGAUAAGUUGAAUUGACCUCGGGACGCUACCCAGGCAGGCCUUACAUUACAUGCUUCGGAACACAUCCAGCAAGCACCCUUAUAACGCCUCUUAGUUAGUGCCCGAUGGAGAUCAACCCACCAGGUCAGCUAACGAGUGUACACAAUUCUCAAAUAACGUGUUAGGCCAUAAGAGAACCUCAAUUGAUUCGUUGUGGCGAGCCUUAAACAGAGCAGAGUGCACAUAAACAUUUUAUUGGAUAAACAAUUUGCAUUUUAUUGAAUAAAUAAUUUGCAUUUCAUUGAAACAUUUAGAGCUUAAUAACUCAAUCAUACUUUAUACAUUUGGAAAGUAAGCCCACCUGGUUAGGCAAAGCCUGAAGAUCAUAAUCACAUACACUCAUCUUGAGAAAGCAGCGCUAAUCCCCUUGGUCCUCAAAGCCUACAAAAAUUCUAUUCUUAAUAGGUUUCGUGAAGCUAACUUAAAGUCUUAGUGGGUGCACUUAACUACUAUGAUUCAUCACGCCGAGUUUUCAAAAUUUAAUAGAUAAAUAAUUGAAAACUAAAUUGUUGAGCUAAGGAUACCAACAAUAUCCUUACUCGAUUUUCUUGGGUAAUUGGAUUUAAUGAAAACCAAUUUAAAUCAUGAGUACUUUUAUUUGCAAAAAUGCAUAUGCAAAAUUUAUUUCAAGCUUAAUCAUAUAAUAAGUAAUUACACUUAACAUAUGCACAUAAUAAUAAUGUAUUAUUAUUACGCAAAUUAUUCUUUAAAAUAAUUAAUCAAACUAAUGAUAGUCAAAUUAAUUAAAUUAGUAUAGCCCAAAAAAAUUAAUAGAAGGCAGCCCAAAAUUUAAAUAACUGAAGGCCGAACUAUUAAUUAAAAUUGAGUCCAUGUUAAAAUAAAUAAAAUCAGCCCAAAGUUUUAAAUAAAUAAGGGCCCAGCUAAGAUUUGGAAAUGGCCCAAGCUUUUUAAAAAAAUAGCAGCCCAAUCUAAUUAAGACCCGGCCCAACGCCCAGGCCCAAACCCAGGAGCCCUAACCCUUCUUCUUCACAGAUCACACGCACACACACAUAACCGGAAGUCUCUCUCUCUAUUCUCGCGACACACACAGACACACACAACAGACGCCGCCGGCCUCUCCUCUGGGGAAGGCAGCCUUCGGCCUCACCUCCCUCGACUCCGCGACCGCUGCCUCUCUCUCAGUUUUCACCGAGAAUCCGCCUCUUCUCCCUCAGAAAUCCGCCGCCGCGGAAGAUCGCCGGAGAGACGACGAUAAGCCGCCUCAACCGUCGGCUCUCUCUCUUUCGAUCCCGACUCCCAGCGAAGUGGCAGCGACAAGCCACCAGUCAGCCUCCCAUCUCCCACAAUCCAUAGAAAUACCUAUUAUAUUUCAUAUGUUGAUACUUUUUUGUUUCUCUACAUGCGAAUCGAUUUUCUACUUUCGAAUCGAUGGAUUCUGAACCCUCUAGAUCAGAUUGAGCUGGUGAGUGCUUAGAUCCUCUCCUUCUUGAGCUGAUUGAGCUACUUUCGAAUCGACGGUCGCGCGCCUAUUGAAUCGGUGGUGUCUAGAAUACUCUUUUUAAUUCCUCAAUUCUCAUUCUUACUGAACCAGCUCAACAGAACAGGGGUUUUGCUAGGGUUUAAUAUCUCUUCCCACUCUAACCUUGUACACGGUUUCCCAUUUCUAAGAAAUUCAAAACCUUAUGGCCUUCGCUUCAGCUUUCCGUCGCAUUUUUAACGGAUCAUCCACGCCGUCGCUCAAUAUACGCUCGCAGUUCUGUUCGAUUCGCUUCAGUUCCACGCUUCCGACGCUCACCUCUCCUAAGCUCUUCAUCAGCGGUAUGCCUCUUCAUUUUCUUUUAAUUGUAAUACGCGUUUUUCAGUUCUAUCACUGCUGUUUCGUUUGAUUCUAUUUUGUUUCUCAAUUCGUGUCAAAUCUUCGUCUAAUGUCAAUGGCAAUGGAUUUGUGUAUUUGAAUCGAAGUAUGUUAUAACCUUGCCGAGUGUUAUCCUUCCUAUUUUUGCCAUAUCACAAAUUAUAUGCAAAUACUGGAAAUGUGAUUGCAAUCGCCGAUCACAUAGUGAAUGAAGAUAUUUGAAUACUGAUAAUUGGAGAUCUUCAAAUGGAUGAAGAUAUUUGAAUACUGAUAAUUGGAGACCUUCAAAUGUUAAAGUGAAUAGUAGUUAUAUUUUAUGUACUUAUAUGGAUGCACAAGCGCUUUUAUGUUUGAUCUAUAAAGAUACAUAAUUCCCUCUGUGAGGCUUCCUGAAACUAAGUGAAAUGUACAUAUAUGUGUUACUAUCGACUUCUUCAUGUCCAACACUGCUGUAUUGGUGCAUUUAAUUUAACCAACAUGGCAUAUCUCACUCGUUAUGAUAUGACAUAACCCCCAAUUGUAUCUCUCAUAUGAAUGUGAGAGCAAAACUUAUGCUCCUUCCGUCCUAUUAUAAAUGUCCCAUUAUUUUUGGACACGAAGAUUAAGAAAUGUGUAAUAGGUAGAUAAAGUGGAUUGAUGGAAAUUAUUUAAAUAUUAGGUAUAGAGAGAAUAUGUUGCCAAAAAAGAAUGAGACAUUUGUAAUGGGACGUAGGGAGUAGUAUUUUUUAAUUUUGGAAUGUGUGAAAGAAUGGGAUGUUGAAAGAAAAUGUUUUAGAUCAAUCUUUUUUUAAAAUGACUAAAUUGAAACAGUUUUAUCUCGAUGGAUCCCAGAAGUAAUCUUACCAUGACCUUGUCAGUAGAUAUAACCCAAAAAUGUUGUAUAAAUAGAACUCAAAUUUACUGGUCAGAAUUUGCUCUCACGCCUUUUGGGAUGUGAGUAUUGCAUGAAGGACUAGGACCUAUUGUUUUCUUUUUAGAGUUUAACACAAGUAGCUUUUAGAAUCCCUAAAUCAUAUAGCUUGAAUGAAGUACUUUGAAUGUCAUAGUUGAGACAUUUAAUGUUCUUGUUAUCACCUACUACUAAUGAUUCACCUUUGAAGAACAUAUUUUGAAUACUAACAUACUUGACACAUGAGGUUUUUCAGAAAAAGAAGGUCUUGGUUUCAACAGUUUGUCUCUGAAGAUUAUGUUUACAUUAACCUUCGGUUCUUUAAUUCUCAUGAAACAGGUCUUUCAAGAACGACAAGUGAUGAUAACUUAUACAAGGCAUUUGCACCUUUUGGAAAUCUUCGUGAGGGUAAACAGCUCACACCUUAUUCUUAGGCACACUGCGUGUCUUGGAUAUAAAUUAAUCUUCUAUCCUGUUGAUUUAGUCUUUCAAAUUCUUGUGUUAAUCUUGCAGCAAAAAUUAUCAUUGACAGAGGCUCUGGGAAAUCAAGGGGGUUCGGUUUUGUAACUUAUGAUACUGUGGAAGAAGCUGAGAAGGCAAGGGAGGGAAUGAAUGCCAAGUUCCUUGAUGGUUGGGUAAUUUUUGUCGACCCGGCCAAACCGAGGGAAGCUCCUCAACAACCCCCUCCUCCUCGGCGAGACAUGCAAUCUACUGAAACCGGUUACACUACAAACAGGACGGUUGGAUGGAGUGGCUAUUGACUUCUAUCCAAAUUCUUUGGAAGAUAUUUUGUAAUUGACUGAAAUAUAAUAGCUUUUGGAGAAACUGGACUAUUUAUUGAGACAUUUGGACUGCAGAAUCUGUGGCCAGUCGAAGUGAAUUGUAUACUAGUACAAUAUGCAAUAGUUGGAGAUAUAUUUAUAUCUGCAUCUGGCAAUGGCAUGAUGAAAAAGUCACAGGCUAGUUUGUUACAUUGUUUCUAGAUAUUUGUCCAGUUCCCCCUUCUCUUUAGUUAUUUUUUGUGUUAAUAUAUAUGAGUAGCCUAAAAUAUAAAUAUACAUUUCAAAAAAGCCACAAGUAUAAAAACAUAUCAACUUUAGUUCAUCCCAGCGACGAUCUUUUCUGGUUUCGUCGCCCUCGAUUCCUCCUCUCCCUCAUCCACUUUGUUCUUUUUGAGGUUUAUAUUUCUUCUUCAUGCUCAACUCUUUUCAUUCAAACAAACCUUAUCUUUUGAUGUACUUAUGUUUAUGUUUCUUGAUUGAUCCUUUUGCAGAAUGCAUUUCAGAUUGCUCUCUUUGCUUGGAGUUGGGUGAGUUGUUAGUUUGCUGCAAACUGUUCAAACAAAAGAUUUCCAAUAUUUAUGAUUGUGUUCAUGCUUUUGUUUUUUUUGCAGCUUAAAUUUGGAUAUCCAUCUUGCUACCAUGAGAAUCUUGAGGAUUUGCUCAUACGAAUCGUGAUGGGGUAAUGUGUUUCUUCUGUUUCUGUGUGAAUUUCCCAUUGCCAAAUGUGUGGAAGCUACCUUAAUUUCAUCGAAACAUAUAUACUAAUGCUUUUCUUGUUUUUGUUUUUGUUUUGGCAGUGUUGUGAUACAGGUUCUGUGCAGCUAUGUCACACUUCCUCUCUACGCCUUAGUUACUCAGAUGGGAUCGAACAUGAAGCCAGUCAUUUUCGGGGAUGACGUGGCGUCGGGGCUGCGCAGCUGGCACGAGGCGGCCAAGAAACAGGCAAAAGAAGGGCGGCCUUCAGUCAGCGUCACCCCAUUGUCCAGUUGGCCCACCUCUCCGUUGCGCGGUGGCACGUCGCCUGCCUAUCUGCGGAAUGGCCGCAGAAAGUCGACUGAGGAGUCGGGUGGUGGCAGGGAGAGGGCGUACGCCUCUCCCAACCACCACGGUUAUCGUGACAAAAAAGAUCGACGAUCAGAAACUUCAGUUAUUGAGAUAGAAACGGAUAUUGGAAAUCCUUCCUCACAAGAAGUUGGCUUUAUUUCUAGUGAUUUCUCCUUUGUGAAAAAUGAUUCUUCUAAAUCUCCCAAGUAGAG